AUUGACCGCUGGCGGUAGGCCUAACACAUGCAAGUCGAGCGGAGCGGCGGACGGGUGAGUAAAGCCUGGGCAUCUGACUGGUAGUGGGGGAUAGCGUCCGGAAACGGGCGCUAAUCCCGCAUACUAUCAGAUGAACCUAGGUCGGCUUAGCUAGUUGGUGGGGUAAAGGCCUCCCAAGGCGACGAUCCGUAACUGGUCUGAGAGGAUGAUCAGUCACACUGGAACUGAGACACGGUCCAGACUCCUACGGGAGGCAGCAGGGGGGAAUAUUGGACAAUGGGCGAAAUCCUGAUCCAGCCAUGCGGCGUGUGUGAAGAAGGUCUUCGGAUUGUAAAGCACUUUAAGUUGGGAGGCGUUACCAACAGAAGAAGCACCGGCUAACUUCGUGCCAGCAGCCGCGGUAAUUC
Molecule: ribosomal RNA, 407 nt
Filed under: uncultured bacterium
Lineage: Bacteria
Description: partial 16S ribosomal RNA
Rfam family: Bacterial small subunit ribosomal RNA
Source: RNAcentral